GGACGCAGAGGCCUGCCAGCUGCCGGAGGAGCCCGCCCAGGGAGAGCCCAGCUCUGGCACUGACAUGUGGGCACAGCUGUGAGGCCUGGGCCUGUGCCCCUCCACAGCAAGCAGCGCCCCCCAGCUCCUGCCUCCGGCAAGGAACCUGCGCCCCGGCCCCCUCUGACUUCUGCUUCCCUCCCUGCUUUGGGCAAUAAAGAACUGAUACUGA
Pelodiscus sinensis (Chinese soft-shelled turtle) is the source of this 211-nucleotide non-coding RNA. The record is from RefSeq and is a predicted model, not a curated record. Lineage: Eukaryota; Metazoa; Chordata; Testudines; Trionychidae.